This 214-nucleotide long non-coding RNA is filed under the name Elaeis guineensis (African oil palm). RNAcentral describes it as "long non-coding RNA (EGUI_LNC040134)". The record is from RNAcentral. Lineage: Eukaryota; Viridiplantae; Streptophyta; Magnoliopsida; Arecales; Arecaceae.
GUGAGAAUAUUUUUCCCUGAUAUGUAGCAUUUGCUUUCAAUUAGGCCACCCAGGCAACGGCUAGGAUCUCCAGCCAUAGGGCUGGCAUUGUCAAUUCGACCGUAAGUUAGGGCAUUAUAGAAGAUGUUAGCCAAGGCAAGGAAGGUAGCGGCCAUGGCCGAAUGAGAUUUACUGAUUAUGACAAAGAAAUACUAAGACCUUUCGACUAAGGUGG